UUGAUCAUGGCUCAGAACGAACGCUGGCGGCAUGCCUAACACAUGCAAGUCGAACGAGACCUUCGGGUCUAGUGGCGCACGGGUGCGUAACGCGUGGGAACCUGCCUUUAGGUUCGGAAUAACAGUGAGAAAUUACUGCUAAUACCGGAUAAUGUCUUCGGACCAAAGAUUUAUCGCCUUUAGAUGGGCCCGCGUUGGAUUAGCUAGUUGGUGGGGUAAAGGCCUACCAAGGCGACGAUCCAUAGCUGGUCUGAGAGGAUGAUCAGCCACACUGGGACUGAGACACGGCCCAGACUCCUACGGGAGGCAGCAGUGGGGAAUAUUGGACAAUGGGCGAAAGCCUGAUCCAGCAAUGCCGCGUGAGUGAUGAAGGCCUUAGGGUUGUAAAGCUCUUUUACCCGAGAUGAUAAUGACAGUAUCGGGAGAAUAAGCUCCGGCUAACUCCG
RNAcentral lists this ribosomal RNA (446 nucleotides) under Erythromicrobium sp. Its description in RNAcentral is "bacterial SSU rRNA". It matches the Rfam family "Bacterial small subunit ribosomal RNA", at positions 13 to 505 of the family's 1533-position model. Lineage: Bacteria; Pseudomonadati; Pseudomonadota; Alphaproteobacteria; Sphingomonadales; Erythrobacteraceae. The record is from RNAcentral.